UAGGGAAUUUUCGUCAAUGGGCGCAAGCCUGAACGAGCAAUGCCGCGUGAACGAGGAAGGUCUUCGGAUCGUAAAGUUCUGUUGAAGGGGAAAAAGAGCGGAGAGAGGAAAUGCCUUUCUGAUUGAUAUUACCCUUCGAGGAAGUCACGGCUAACUACGUGCC
Molecule: ribosomal RNA, 163 nt
Filed under: uncultured bacterium
Lineage: Bacteria
Description: partial 16S ribosomal RNA
Rfam family: Bacterial small subunit ribosomal RNA
Source: RNAcentral